Long non-coding RNA from Camelus dromedarius (Arabian camel), 2177 nucleotides. RefSeq lists it as uncharacterized. The record is from RefSeq and is a predicted model, not a curated record. The transcript has 2 exons. Lineage: Eukaryota; Metazoa; Chordata; Mammalia; Artiodactyla; Camelidae.
GUCUUCCUGAACUGAGAACUUCCAGAGGCCACCCCGGCCCAGCUGGCGUGAGGGCCUGGCUGUCGGGCCAUCUGUGCUCUGGACACGGGCAACAGCGUUCCGUUAGCUGUCCUCAUCGUGGGGUCUCCUCCUGUCACCUGGCUUCCCGCGGGGGCCUGGGCCUCCUUCCAGCGUUCCCUGCAGACUGCAGCCCCAGUGAGCGCGUGACAAGGUCGAUGCUCAGCGUCACCAGGGGACGCAGGUCAGCGUCACAGGGAGGGGCCGCCUCACACCCAUCGGGGUGGCUACUUGCUAAAAACAACAGAAAACAAGUGGUGGCAAGGGUGUGGAGCCACUGGAACCGUGUGCGCUGCUGGUGGGGACGGGAAAUGGUGCAGCCGCUGUGGAAAACGGCAUGGCAGUUCCUCAGAAAGAACCCUGGAUUGGAUCCUGGAACAGAAAAGGAACAUCAGUGGAAAAACCGAUGAAAUCGAAAUAAGUCAAUAAAAGGGAGAAAAUGGGAUGUUAAAAAAUACUCAUUCAGUCCAAAAUGAGGCUGACAGAGAAGAAAGAAGGCACAAAGAGCCAGCGGGACACGCAGAACAGCAGGAGGCUGUUGCAUCUCCACCCAGUCUACCUGCGGCCCCACUGGCGGCACCAGGACGGAGGUCCGUCGGAGAGCCCAGGCAGCAGCGCAGAGCACGCCCCCCGUGUCUGCUGUCCGCAGAAGUUCACCUUCCGACUAAAGGCACAUCAGAAGUGAAAGGAUGGACUACGUAGCUACCGAGAGAUGAACCCGCCUGUGAGCAGGCAGCCACUGGGUGGCGGCGUCCUGACCCCAGCGCGAAGCACCCAGCUGCACCCCCCUUGCUGGCUCCUCACCCAGAGCUGCUGACCGGCCCACAGCCCCCAGGGCCUCGUCUGCAGCAUGGGGUGCGGUCAGCGCCUUGUUUACGCACACCUGCCGAAAUGCGGGCACUCCAUGUGCUGAAGGCUCCUCUGUUCCUGACUUCCUGUCCCUCUGGAGGCCGGCCCAGGGCCCAGAAGAGCAGGGUGGGACACGGAAAGGCACCACAGCCUCCCUGCAGCCCAACUGGUCCUCACUGCCCAGGCCCCUCCCUGUCUGCUCUGGUCUUUUCUCCCCCAGGUGCCCGUCUCCUUGCACCCCCACUGCUCUGCCUGGAAGGUCAGGGUGUUCUCAGGGAGUCCCCCUUCCCUCUUUUCCUCGUGGCCACACCCACCUGGCUGGGACACACAAGAUUGUGAUUGUGUCCAGGUCAUGACCUUGAAGCCUGUCCUAGGCCACAGGAACGGUCCCUAAGGCCAUCACCCAGUCACUCCCACAGCCCAGUCAUCCCCCCAUCAGCUAAGGGGUCCCGAGGGAAGGAGCAGCUCAUGCCCCUCCACCUGGCCAGCUGGGCCCCCCGACGGCCCAGCUUCAGCUCCGUUUUCCACAGCACGCCUGCCACUUCAGGGUACCACUUGCUCCAAGUUUGAGGAUACACUGCUGUGUUUUCUGGUUUCUACAAUACACUUUACUGUGUUAAAACACACGUGACAUAAAAGCCCCUGAACCUCUUUCAAGAGCACAUUUCUGUAGCGUUGAGUGCAUUCACAUGGUUGUGCAUCCGUCACCACCAUCUGUCCCCAGAACUUUCUCAUCUUCCCAGACAGAAGCUCUGUCCCUGCUGAACACCACUCCCCUCCCCCAGCCCCGGCCCCCCCACCCUACUUUCUGUCUAAGAAUCGGACGGCUCUGGGACCUCAAGUAGGUGGAGUCGCACAGUUUCUGCUCCUUUGUGGCUUCCUCUUCACUCAGCGUGAUGUCCGCAGGGCCCAUCCGUGUUGGGCAGGUGUCGGAAUUUCCUUCUUUCCCCAAGGCCGGAUGACAUUGCGUCGUGUGGCUGGACCACGUCUUGGUAGCCCCUUCGUGGUCCACGGGCAGUUGGGCUGCAUCCACGUUUUGAGGCUACGGUGAAGGGUGCUACUAGAGGUGCAGGGUUACCUCCUCCAGACCUGCCUGCUCGCGACUCUUCGUAGUGCGUAUCCAGAGUGGAAUUGUGGGGUCACUGCAAACUCGUUUCUCAAGGACCCUCCCUGCUGUUCUCCAUUCCCUCCAGCAGUGCCCAGGGCUCCAACUUGACGCGUAUGUUUAUGUAUCUGAAACCUGAAUCCAAAGCAUCACUUAAUAGGUAACA